AAAAUCCUGCUUGUGCUCCCUUCCUGUACUCAGAACACUGUCUCCAGUAAGGACCUGUUGCCAGCUCACGAGAACUUGGACAACACAGACUUCAGUGUUGCAGAUAAAAAGAACAUGCUGGCACUCAUAGGUUCUCAGUCAA
This is a long non-coding RNA of Cyprinus carpio (common carp), 142 nucleotides long. RefSeq lists it as uncharacterized. NCBI's taxonomy places the organism in Eukaryota, Metazoa, Chordata, Actinopteri, Cypriniformes, Cyprinidae. The transcript has 3 exons. The record is from RefSeq and is a predicted model, not a curated record.